This 432-nucleotide ribosomal RNA is filed under the name uncultured bacterium. RNAcentral describes it as "bacterial SSU rRNA". It matches the Rfam family "Bacterial small subunit ribosomal RNA", at positions 29 to 506 of the family's 1533-position model. The record is from RNAcentral.
AUGAACGCUGGCGGCAUGCCUAACACAUGCAAGUCGAACGAAGCCUUCGGGCUUAGUGGCGCACGGGUGCGUAACGCGUGGGAAUCUGCCCCUUGGUUCGGAAUAACAGUUAGAAAUGACUGCUAAUACCGGAUAACGACGUAAGUCCAAAGAUUUAUCGCCAUAUGGAGGGGUCUGCGUCGGAUUAGCUUGUUGGUGGGGUAACGGCCUACCAAGGCGACGAUCCGUAGCUGGUCUGAGAGGAUGAUCAGCCACACUGGGACUGAGACACGGCCCAGACUCCUACGGGAGGCAGCAGUGGGGAAUAUUGCGCAAUGGGGGAAACCCUGACGCAGCGACGCCGCGUGGGUGAAGAAGGCCUUAGGGUUGUAAAGCCCUUUCAGUGGGAAAGAUUGUGACGGUACCCACAGAAGAAGCUCCGGCUAACUCCGU